Molecule: transfer RNA, 73 nt
Filed under: Agrilus planipennis (emerald ash borer)
Lineage: Eukaryota; Metazoa; Arthropoda; Insecta; Coleoptera; Buprestidae
Rfam family: tRNA
About the family: Transfer RNA (tRNA) molecules are approximately 80 nucleotides in length. Their secondary structure includes four short double-helical elements and three loops (D, anti-codon, and T loops). Further hydrogen bonds mediate the characteristic L-shaped molecular structure. tRNAs have two regions of fundamental functional importance: the anti-codon, which is responsible for specific mRNA codon recognition, and the 3' end, to which the tRNAs corresponding amino acid is attached (by aminoacyl-tRNA synthetases). tRNAs cope with the degeneracy of the genetic code in two manners: having more than one tRNA (with a specific anti-codon) for a particular amino acid; and 'wobble' base-pairing, i.e. permitting non-standard base-pairing at the 3rd anti-codon position.
Source: Rfam by way of RNAcentral
CCUGUCGUAGCUUAGUGGUCAAAGCAUUGAUAAGUAAAGCCAAACGUGUCGGGUUCGAUUCCCGACAACAGCA